CAAAUCCCUGCAAUUUUCUAGAAUACGAGAAAGAAACAUGAAGCCGAUGCAGAUGGAUUUCUUCGCGGACAUGGAGGAGCAGGGAUCUACAGUUGCGAUGGACGUGGAUGACGUUGAUCCACUGGAGAUCUUCGGCGAAGGUGUUAUCAACGUCGACAAUAAGCUUGCCGACGCCGAUUUCUUCAACAAUUUCGAGGACGAUUUCGAUG
This 209-nucleotide unclassified non-coding RNA is filed under the name Hevea brasiliensis (rubber tree). The record is from RNAcentral. Lineage: Eukaryota; Viridiplantae; Streptophyta; Magnoliopsida; Malpighiales; Euphorbiaceae.